AAGAUGAUCUGUAUUUUCUCUCUAAAGCAGAGUUCAUUUGCUGAGAAUGAUGGAGAAAAUCAGCAUCUAGCUAAUCAGCUGACCAUGAGAUGCAGAGAUUAUCUGGAAUUAUCCAGAUUGGUCCAUUUAAUUACAUGAGUCCUUAAAAGUGGAAAGUGGAAGAAGAGGCAGAAGAGUGUGUCAGAGAGAUGCUGUGUGAAAAGGACUCAACCUGCCACUUGAGGCUUUGAGGCUGGAGAAAGGGGCCAUGAACCAAGGAUUGUGAGCAGCCUGUAAAAUCUGGAAAAGACAAGGCAAUACCCUUUGCUGUCUCAGGGUCAAACAUGCAACUCCUGCCUGCUUGUAUGGCCAGCUGGGUUCAAGAAGGAAGGAACCUCAUUGUUGACAGUUACCAGAUGAAUGUGCCCCUUCUGUACAGCUAAGAAAUGGAAUAGACAUUGGUUGUCCUGGCAAGAAGUCAAGGUUCGUUGCACCUGAAGAAGGGGGACCUGCAGCAGAAUCUAAACUGGGCUCAGCUUAACUAAAUGCCCGACAAUUCUGUCUCUCUCCACUGGUUCUGCGUUCACAUCAGCACUGAGUAUUGGGCAUGAGAUCUGACUAUUCAAAGAGGGUGACUAAUACAAGCCAGAAAUUCAGGCACUUGUGAGGAAGAGUUGACCAAUGAAGAAUAGGAGACGUGAGGACUUGUUUUCUAGUCCACUUCCCAUCCAGCUCCCAACUGCUCCAACACGGAGGUGCUCCAUAUGGCCUGCUAUGCUUCCUGUGAGGCAAUGCCAGCUUCACACUGACCCACAUUGUUUUUACUUUUCUGGCUUCCCUGCCUCAGUUUCCUAUUUCUCUCACUCUUGCUGCCCUGGGAUUGCAUACCCUCCGCUCAGCCUGCUCAUUCUCCCCAACAAAGCAGUAAGAGCCAAGCUUUACCUUUUUUGCUGUUACAAAUAAUGUCCCCCCAAAAUAUUUUUACAAAUACUUCUGUAUGCUCAUGUUCAAAUAUUUCUUGGGGAUAACGAAGUACUAUGAGUGAGGUUGCUGGGGGUGAAUGUUGCACACAUUGCAAAUUUUACUAGAUAUUCCUAAGCCUUGCAUCUCUCAUCAUGUACAGGCUUUUACUGUGACUCAUUUUACCUAUACUUCCAACAGCACUGGAUGUUAUAAAAAAAAAAUUUAUACUUCAUGCCAAGUUCACACGUGAAAAAUAGCAUUUUACUUUUUUUUAAAUUUGUGUUUUGUUAAUUCAGGAGGACAAAUAGCUUUCUGUUUUUUUACUGGCCACUAAAAUUUCUUCUUCUAAAAGAUUCCGUUUGUAUUGUUUUCUUUUGGUAGCAUAUAUGCCACACAUAUGAUGUAGUAUAUGGGAUUAUUUUACCCUAUUUGGCCCUUUGCUACUGAGGUACUAUUUUAAAAAAACAUUGAUUUUAUAAUUGAUUAUUAUUAGCACAUAAUUAUUUUUCUUGUAUGUUCCUAGUUUUACUAUCAAGUGGAUGUUUCAACUUGAUUCUAUGUUUAAUACAGCUCAGCACUUACCAUCAUUUUUUAAUAUUAUCAUUGUUCAUUCUUAAGUUCCUAAUUUUAGUUAAUUCCUUGGUUGCCAAAAAACCCAAACAAAAAAACAAGAAAAAACUGACCCAAAACAAAUAAACAAAAAUCAAAACUUUUAAAAUAUCUUUACAUUUGGAUAUAUAACUUUAAAGAUUUUUAUGCAUAUUACAUAUUUGUAAAGAUAUGUAAAUAUAUUUUAAAUGGCUUAAAUUAUGUGUAUUUUAUUUUUUUUAAAUUACUAAUUGACAAAUAAUGAUUGCAUGUAUUUAUGAGGCAUAAUAUGAUAUUUUAACAGCUAUUGUUUUAUAACCUCUGUUUCUACUUAAACUUGUAAUGCAAACAUUUUUUGAGUAUGUCUUUUUUUUAAUAAAUGUUAUAAGGGUGGUAUAUUUCUGAACCUUUGAGUAUCUAAGAAUGUGCUUCAGUUGGCUUCACAGAUGAAUAAUAACUUGGCUGAGUUUUAAAUUAUUGGCUCAAAAAGUUUUCUCCCAACUGCUUUUGCCAAUUUUUAUUGCAGAAAAAAAAGCUGUGUAAGCUGUCCUGUUUCUUUACUUUUAUCAUGUAAAAUUUUAGUGUAGUUUGUAUUUAUUUUUAUGGAUUUAUUCUGAUGUUCGAUGUAACUUUUCUAGUUGUUUAUAAGCUAAAUUCUCUUUUUUCCUUUGGAUUUUUUUCCCCCUAGAUGUUCUUAUUGAGGAUCAUUAUAUCAUAGUAACUAACAUUUGACUUUGGGGUCAAAUGACCUUGAUUAUAAUUGCUCUCUCCAUACGAACUUUGUGACCUUGGGCUAGUCAUUUUAACCUCUUCUAAGUUGGUUUUAAUAUGUAUACCUAUAGGAAUGAGUUGUUGAGCAAAUUAAAUGUGCAGCAUGUAUAUUUUUUUUUUGGUAAAACGCUUUGAAAGAUGUUCUGAUGCUAUGAAAGAUGUUAAGUAUUGUUGCUCAUUUAGACAUUCAUUACCUCUCCUACAUAUCUAUCUUUUAGUUUUCUUCUUUUUCUACAAUAUUUCAGGAGACUGUUUUAACAUGUUUACUGCAUCACCAAUUUGAGUUCCUACAGUGCUGAUAGUGCCAUUUAUGCCUUCCAAUGUGGAUUUUAUCUCUGUUAUUGCGUUUUAGCUUAAGAAAGCAGUCAUUCCUCAUUUCAUCUGUAUCUCUUUCCUAUGAUUCUGCUGGUUUUUAAUCUCACUCUUAUGGCUUUCUUUUCUAUUUUAUAAGUGUUCUGACUUCUUUUGUUCUAAUUAAGAUAACAAAUAUGUACAGUUUAAGCCCGGCUCACGCCUGUAAUCCCUGCACUUUGGUAGAACAAGGUAGGUGGACCACUUGAGGUCAGGAGUUUGAGACCAGCCUGGUCAACAUGGUGAAACCCCAUCUCCACUAAAAAUACAAAAAUUAGACAGGCAUGGUGGCACGUACCUGUAGUCCCAGCUACUGGGGAGGCUGAGGCAGGAGAAUCGCUUGAACCGGGUAGGUGGAGUAAGCUGAUAUGGCACCUCUGCGCUCCAGCCUAGGCAACAGAGCCAGACUUCAUCUAGAAAAAAAAAAUUAUAUAUAUACAUAUAUAUAGUUUAAAUUUAUGUUCUAAAGUUCUAUUUCUUUACUGGAACUUAAAUUUAAUGUAACCUUCUCCAAGCUGUCAUUCUUUUUUUUGCCCAGAAGUCCAGCUUUUUAUCUUUCUUAUUAGUUUUGUUUUUCUAUUCACUCACUUUUGGUGUUUGUCAGCACACUGGAUGUGUGCCUCUCCCUUUGGCUUCAGAGUCUGUUUAUUUUAGUGAUGGUUAAUUCUACUUCUCUGUGGCUAUAGUAACUGGUUGGUGUAUGGAGUUCUUUCCCAGUUUUUACUAUCUACAACUGUUUAUCUAGUGUCACUCUCUAAGAUGUAAUUUACUUUUACAUUCCACUGCCUGUAAUGUACACAUGUACAUUAAAAACUAUAUUCUGCAAUAUAUCCUUCUCCCACAAAUCUUGUCUCCACCUAUACCUGUAGUGACUUACUUGUAUGCCUUCUAGAAUUAAAGAAGUACACCUUCUAGAAUUAAAUGUGCCAUUAAUAUUAUGCCCACACUAUAUUGCCUGCACAGUUCUAAACUUGGAGGCUUAGACCAGAGUUGAACAGGGAGCUCCUAAUGGUGAGGUUAGGUGGUGGAGGUGGGAAGGAGCCUCUACUGGCUUCUCAAACCUGUGCCUACUGUCAGGGAUAUUGUGUGCUCCCCUCUGCAUAGUAUAUUUUUGAUCCAAUGAGUUGUGAUUAAUUUCCUAUCCAAAGUAUCUACUAGAUUGCUUAACAUACAGUAGGUACUAAUAAAUGUAUAUUCCUUUCUCCUUUCUGGUGGGCAGCCAUACUUAGACUCUGGCAGUGCCCUUGACUUAUUAUUUCUAAAUGCGUUCUGAAUUCUAGUAUAGUUUACUGUCCUUCUUAAUUACCAGUUUUUUUAAUCAUCCUUUCAUGUUUUUAUAGAUGGUAGUGAGAAGAUUUAUCAGAGACUUCCAGCCUUUUUAUAAUGAAUUAUUUAUUUUUUAAAAAAAUUUUGCUCUGAUGUCCCUAGGGAAGAUGCACCAAUGGGGAGUGACUUUGAGGAAGCAAAAAUUGUUAGUGGGCUAUAUUCAUGAUCCUAACCAAAAAUGAUGAAGGCUUGAACAUUGGUAAGAGAAGAUUACAGAGAAAAGGAUAUGAUAUUCAAGAGAGAUUUGGGAAGUGCAAUAGCAAUGCUUAGUAACUAUACUUGAUGUCUGGAGGAGAUCGUUGAGGAAGAGGAAAGAGCUCACGAUGACUAACAGAUUCUAACAUGCACUAUUAAUUCAAUAGCUUAGUGCAAAGAGCGAGUAGGCUGCAGGGCAGGAAUUUAAAAAAUUUAGUUUUUGAUAUAUUAGACAUUUGAAGCCUGCAGUAUAUCCAUUUGGAAAUGUUCAGGGGUAGUUCUAACUAUGGAUCUGUAUUUCAGGAGAUCAGUCAGGGCAGGAGAUAUGGUUUUGAGAGUUACCAGCAUAUGGAAGUAGGAUUAGAGGGAAUGAAUAUGCUGCAUAGGAAGGAACAGAUGCCAGGAAAAGGCAAGACUGUAGGCAGGGAGAUCAGUUAGAAAAUUGCAAUAAUCCAGGAAAGAAAUGAUAACUGACUUUACCAAAACAGUAACAAAGCAAAUGGAGGGAAGGAUCGAUCAUGUUUCAGUAAGCUUACUGUAAAUGCGCAGUCAAGAACAAGGUAGGGAGGUAGGAGGAAAUCAUCUGCUGGGCUGUGGCAAGUGGGAUAGAACAUAGAGCCUAAGAAAAGUUGUGAAAAUUUGGAAGGGCUAACAUGAGCAAACAGGAGUGAUGGGGCAGACACCAGGGUCAAGCAAAACAUCAUAGGUCCAGCUGAGGCCAGAAACCAUAAAAUUGUAGGGGGCAACAAUUUUCACAAUGAAUGGUUUUCUCCUUGUUUCCUGAGUGUACAAAGCAAAAAGCUAGAUUUCUUGCAUUGAAACAAAUUUGGAGGCUUUCCAAAUGGGCACUGCAAAAGCACCAUGGACUGUAAACUGGUAACAACAUAAUAAAAGUGUUACGGGGGUAUAGGCUGUACACAGGAGCAACUAAAACAGUGCGUGUGAGGUGGGAUAGUUAAUAUUCUAGGAGAGAAAAGCUGGGUAAAGGGACCAGAGACCUUAAUUUGGUUGAAGAUUGGGUAUCUUAGCUUUUGUAAAAUACGUUUGGAUGAGGUAUGAGUUGCAGUAAGUGAUGAAAAUUUCAUUUACAUAUCCUCUUCCCAUCUCAGGCUGCUCCAGAUAUUAAGCACAGAUCACAUAGGAAUGAAUAUAAAGUGGCUUUACUCUCUGAAGCCAAGGACAAUGUACUUUAGAACAUG
This is a long non-coding RNA of Homo sapiens (human), 5372 nucleotides long. The record is from Ensembl. Lineage: Eukaryota; Metazoa; Chordata; Mammalia; Primates; Hominidae.